Molecule: ribosomal RNA, 229 nt
Filed under: uncultured bacterium
Lineage: Bacteria
Description: partial 16S ribosomal RNA
Rfam family: Bacterial small subunit ribosomal RNA
Source: RNAcentral
CGUGCAGGCGGCUUGUUAGGUCAGGUGUGAAAUCCCUCGGCUCAACCGAGGAAGUGCACUUGAAACCGGCAGGCUUGAGUACGGGAGAGGGAAGCGGAAUUCCUAGUGUAGAGGUGAAAUUCGUAGAUAUUAGGAGGAACAUCUGUGGCGAAGGCGGCUUCCUGGACCGAUACUGACGCUGAGACGCGAAGGCGUGGGGAGCAAACAGGAUUAGAUACCCUGGUAGUCC